UAGGAAGUAAAUAGUUGAAUUAUAAAAAUAUGAAAGUAACAACUCAGAAAGAUUCAGAGAAAAUAAUUUGGGAUCAUAUGAGAAGCCCAUCUGGGAACCACUUUUCCGGACCUGGUUCGCAGACGCGAAUCCUACCUAAGCUCAUGGUUUGGCUGAUCCUAUUCGUUUCACUCACCUAUGUUGCUUACACUCUCAAGCUGGUCGCCACUUCACGAGCCUGCAAUCACGAGCCUUUCUCUACCCAACAUCAUCUCUCAAUCUCUAAUCAUUCU
Molecule: unclassified non-coding RNA, 272 nt
Filed under: Hevea brasiliensis (rubber tree)
Lineage: Eukaryota; Viridiplantae; Streptophyta; Magnoliopsida; Malpighiales; Euphorbiaceae
Source: RNAcentral